ACCUAAUAGAUACCCAGGUAGUCCACGCCCUAAACGAUGCGAACUGGAUGUUGGGUACAUUACGGUACUCAGUGUCGAAAGCUAAACGCGUUAAGUUCGCCGCCUGGGGAGUACGGGUCGCAAGACUGAAACUCAAAGGAAUUGACGGGGGCCCGGCACAAGCGGUGGAGUAUGUGGUUUAAUUCGAUGCAACGCGAAGAACCUUACCUGGCCUUGACAUCUGUCGAAUCCUGCAGAGAUGCGGGAGUGCCGCAAGGAACGCAAGACAGGUGCUGCAUGGCUGUCGUCAGCUCGUGUCGUGAGAUGUUGGGUU
RNAcentral lists this ribosomal RNA (313 nucleotides) under uncultured bacterium. RNAcentral describes it as "bacterial SSU rRNA". It matches the Rfam family "Bacterial small subunit ribosomal RNA", at positions 771 to 1081 of the family's 1533-position model. The record is from RNAcentral.